AAGUCGUAACAAGGUUUCCGUAGGUGAACCUGCGGAAGGAUCAUUAACACGUAUCCAAACGUUAAAACCCCCCCGUGAACCUUCAUCCUGCUCUUGUAACCCGCGUAGUUCGCAAUCUCUGAUAAGUCGGAAAGUGUCAUUGAUUGUGCAACGAUAGCGCUUCUACGAUUCCUGUAGACCGUACACUCGGGCAGGAGCUUUGCCAAAGGGUCCCCAUGCCCCCUAAUACCCCACAGUUUAAUGUGAAGCUCAAUGUAUUACAUUGGGUAAAAAAACCGAACAACUGUUAACAAUGGAUAUCUUGGUUCUC
This 310-nucleotide unclassified non-coding RNA is filed under the name fungal sp. RNAcentral's name for it is "partial internal transcribed spacer region". The stretch from base 1 to 46 matches the Rfam family "Eukaryotic small subunit ribosomal RNA", at positions 1786 to 1831 of the family's 1831-position model. The record is from RNAcentral. Lineage: Eukaryota; Fungi.